AUUGAACGCUGGCGGCAGGCCUAACACAUGCCAGUCGAGCGGAUGAAGGGAGCUUGCUCCUGGAUUCAGCGGCGGACGGGUGAGUAAUGCCUAGGAAUCUGCCUGGUAGUGGGGGAUAACGUCCGGAAACGGGCGCUAAUACCGCAUACGUCCUGAGGGAGAAAGUGGGGGAUCUUCGGACCUCACGCUAUCAGAUGAGCCUAGGUCGGAUUAGCUAGUUGGUGGGGUAAAGGCCUACCAAGGCGACGAUCCGUAACUGGUCUGAGAGGAUGAUCAGUCACACUGGAACUGAGACACGGUCCAGACUCCUACGGGAGGCAGCAGUGGGGAAUAUUGGACAAUGGGCGAAAGCCUGAUCCAGCCAUGCCGCGUGUGUGAAGAAGGUCUUCGGAUUGUAAAGCACUUUAAGUUGGGAGGAAGGGCAGUAAGUUAAUACCUUGCUGUUUUGACGUUACCAACAGAAUAAGCACCGGCUAAC
RNAcentral lists this ribosomal RNA (478 nucleotides) under uncultured bacterium. Its description in RNAcentral is "partial 16S ribosomal RNA". It matches the Rfam family "Bacterial small subunit ribosomal RNA", at positions 30 to 501 of the family's 1533-position model. The record is from RNAcentral.